RNAcentral lists this ribosomal RNA (2744 nucleotides) under Alphaproteobacteria bacterium HT1-32. Its description in RNAcentral is "23S ribosomal RNA". It matches the Rfam family "Bacterial large subunit ribosomal RNA". Lineage: Bacteria; Pseudomonadati; Pseudomonadota; Alphaproteobacteria. The record is from RNAcentral.
UCUCGAGCGCGAGAAGGGCAUCUGGUGAAUGCCUUGGCAUUAAGAGGCGAUGAAGGACGUGGCACUCUGCGUUAAGUUCCGGGGAGUUGAGAGCAGACUUUGAUCCGGAAAUAUCCGAAUGGGGCAACCCAACCCGCAAGGGUUAUCCGUAGCUGAAUACAUAGGCUUGCGGAAGCAAACCCGGCGAACUGAAACAUCUCAGUAGCCGGAGGAAAGGACAUCAACCGAGACUCCGUUAGUAGUGGCGAGCGAACGCGGACCAGGCCAGUGGCUUGGGUAUAAGAACGAGAACCGUCUGGAAAGUCGGGCCAUAGCGGGUGAUAGCCCCGUAUCGGUAGAAAGUACCCAAGUCCUCGAGUAGGGCGGGACACGUGAAAUCCUGUUCGAACAUGGGGGGACCACCCUCCAAGCCUAAGUACUCCUUAAUGACCGAUAGUGAACCAGUACCGUGAGGGAAAGGUGAAAAGCACCCCGACGAGGGGAGUGAAACAGACCUGAAACCGGAUGCCUACAAGCAGUAGGAGCCUCCAUUGUGAGGUGACUGCGUACCUUUUGUAUAAUGGGUCAGCGAGUUACUCUUUCGAGCAAGCUUAAGCCGCAAGGUGUAGGCGCAGCGAAAGCGAGUGUGAACAGCGCGUUCAGUUCGAGGGAGUAGACCCGAAACCGGGUGAUCUAGCCAUGAGCAGGCUGAAGGUGCAGUAACAUGCACUGAAGGGCCGAACCCACGUCUGUUGAAAAAGACAGGGAUGACUUGUGGCUAGGGGUGAAAGGCCAAUCAAACCCGGAAAUAGCUGGUUCUCCGCGAAAACUAUUUAGGUAGUGCGUCACAUGAAUAUUGCCGGGGGUAGAGCACUGGAUGGGCUAGGGGGACCCAAAGUCUUACCAAACCUAACCAAACUCCGAAUACCGGUAAAUACUAUGUGGCAGACAGACGGCGGGUGCUAAGGUCCGUCGUCGAAAGGGAAACAGCCCAGACCGCCAGCUAAGGUCCCAAAGUCAUGGCUAAGUGGGAAAGGAUGUGGGAAGACCAAAACAACCAGGAGGUUGGCUUAGAAGCAGCCAUCCUUUAAAGAAAGCGUAACAGCUCACUGGUCUAAAUAAGUCGUCCUGCGCCGAAGAUGUAUCGGGGCUAAAGCCAUGCACCGAAGCUGCGGAUUCCAGUUUACUGGAGUGGUAGCGGAGCGUCGUCCAAGCCUGCGAAGGUGAACCGCGAGGUUCGCUGGAGGUACGACGAGUGAGAAUGCUGACAUGAGUAGCGAUAAAGAGUGUGAGAAACACUCUCGCCGAAAUCCCAAGGGUUCCUGCGCAAGGCUAAUCCGCGCAGGGUGAGUCGGCCCCUAAGCCGAGGGCGAAAGCCGUAGGCGAUGGGAAUCAGGUGAAUAUUCCUGAACCAGACGGUGGUGACGAAUAGCGGUAGCUGUACGGACUUAACGGAUUGUCUGUGCAGUCAAGUUGUUCCAGGAAAUAACCCCGUCAUAAGACCGUACCCGAAACCGACACAGGUGGGAUGGUAGAGUAUACCGAGGCGCUUGAGAGAAUGGUGUUGAAGGAACUAGGCAAAUUGCACCCGUAACUUCGGGAUAAGGGUGACCCCUUUGCGCGCAAGCGUGGGGGGGUGGCACAAACUAGGGGGUGGCGACUGUUUACUAAAAACACAGGGCUCUGCGAAGUCGCAAGACGACGUAUAGGGUCUGACGCCUGCCCGGUGCCGGAAGGUUAAGAGGAGAGGUGAGAGCUUUGAAUCGAAGCCCCGGUAAACGGCGGCCGUAACUAUAACGGUCCUAAGGUAGCGAAAUUCCUUGUCGGGUAAGUUCCGACCUGCACGAAUGGCGUAACGACUUCCCCGCUGUCUCCAACACCAACUCAGCGAAAUUGAACUCUCCGUGAAGAUGCGGAGUACCCGCGGUCAGACGGAAAGACCCCGUGCACCUUUACUAUAGCUUUGCAGUGGCAUUAGAAAAUGACUGUGUAGGAUAGGUGGGAGGCUAUGAACCCAGGGCGCCAGCUCUGGUGGAGCCAACCUUGAAAUACCACCCUUUUGCUUUCUGAUGUCUAACCGCGACCCGUGAAACCGGGUCCGGGACCCUGCAUGGUGGGUAGUUUGACUGGGGCGGUCGCCUCCUAAAGAGUAACGGAGGCGCGCGAUGGUGAGCUCAGGCUGGUCGGAAAUCAGCUUAGAGAGUGCAAUGGCAUAAGCUCGCCUGACUGCGACACCGACAGGUGGAGCAGAGACGAAAGUCGGUCAUAGUGAUCCGGUGGUCCCGCGUGGAAGGGCCAUCGCUCAACGGAUAAAAGGUACGCCGGGGAUAACAGGCUGAUGGUUCCCAAGAGUCCACAUCGACGGAACCGUUUGGCACCUCGAUGUCGGCUCAUCUCAUCCUGGGGCUGGAGCAGGUCCCAAGGGUUUGGCUGUUCGCCAAUUAAAGAGGUACGUGAGCUGGGUUUAGAACGUCGUGAGACAGUUCGGUCCCUAUCUGCCGUGGGAGUACGAGACUUGAGAGGAGCUGCCCCUAGUACGAGAGGACCGGGGUGGACGUACCUCUGGUGUACCUGUUGUCGCGCCAGCGGCACCGCAGGGUAGCUAAGUACGGACGAGAUAACCGCUGAAAGCAUCUAAGCGGGAAACUCCCCUCAAUACCAGGUCUCGCCUGAGAGCCGUGGAAGACCACCACGUCGAUAGGCCGGGUGUGGAAGUGUGGCAACACAUGAAGCUUACCGGUACUAAUCGCUCGAAAGGCUCAAGA